Molecule: long non-coding RNA, 14965 nt
Filed under: Homo sapiens (human)
Lineage: Eukaryota; Metazoa; Chordata; Mammalia; Primates; Hominidae
Description: non-protein coding lnc-TRIM26-2:47
Source: RNAcentral
GGAGUUUUUAGCCUUUUAACAUUCAAGGAUUAGAGCUCCCUCUUUGCCCACUAGCAGGGCAUUAGCUGGUGCUGAAGACAGUGGCUGCUUGGCGAGCCUGGAUCUCCAAGUGACCCCCUCAGCAACUCCUGAUGAACAGGUAGCAUGUAAAAGAAAUCUUUUUGGUUUAUACCAGUGAGAUACGGGAGUUGUAUAUCAUUGCAGCAUAAUCUAGGCUAUAGAUGAUGCAAUACUGCUACAUUAGGGUCUUUGAUUUCUAGUCAGGCCCUAUGCCUAGGAUAGCUUACUGCUGGCACACUCUUCAGCCAGUCUCUCAGCUCUGCACAGCACCAGAUAUGCCAGGAUUUUGGCCUUUGAUUCAGAGCUCUUUUCUGGAAUUUUCUUCAUGACCAGAGAAUACCUCUGUCUUGCUUUGCUGACAAGAGGUAUUAAUCUAGAAAUGGCUAUAGUUAUAGUUCAUACAGGAAAUGUGUUGCAAAAAAUUGAGCUAAUCUAGAGAAGAGAAAAUAAAAGAUGGGAAGUCUUAGUUGCAUUCAAAUCCCUGGUUCCAGUUGUACCUGAGGUGCAGUUACAUUAUUGUUCCUUUAGUUUGCUAAAUAAGAUAAUGAAUCCCCAUGUUGACAAGGUUAAGUUAGAUUUCUAUAAUUUUUCUAGGAAUAACAUAGUGUUUUUAUUUGCCCAGAUGUUAUAGCUCACCUAAAAAAACCCUAUCUAUCCAGGGCUUUUGUUGCCUUUUUUUUUUUUUUUGAGACGGAGUCUCGUUCUGUUGCCCAGGCUGGAGUGCAGUGGCGUGAUCUCAGCUCACCAGAACCUCAGCCUACGGGAUUCAAGUGAUUCUCCUGCCUCAGCCUCGCUGGUAGCUGGGACUACAGGCAUGCACCACCACACCUGGCUAAUUUUUGUAUUUUUAGUAGAAAUGGGGUUUCACUGUGUUGGCCAGGCUAGUCUCAAACUCCUGACCUCAGGUGAUCUACCCGCGUAAGCCUCCCAAAGUGCUGGGAUUACAGGCAUGAACCACCAUGCCUGGACUAUUGCCAUUUUCAGUGUUGUGUCCAGUGAUGUUUCCUUCACACCAAGAAGUCUUCAGGGGAUUCAUAUAUGGAUUGUGAAAUCCUCUAGUGACAUGGAAGUUUCUGUGUCAUGCAGAUAGAGAAAUUGUGAUGCCUGGAUGCCUGAGGUUUUUUGGAGUGAGGUACUAUGCAUUUGCAAGUAAUUGUAAACUGUAUAAUCCAGGAUUAAAAGAUAAACUAUUGUUGCAUUUAGAACUGUGUUUAGAAUACAAUAAUUUGUUGUUGUUUUGUAAUAGGACUGAAGCCAAUAUUAAAGCAAGUCAACCAAAGGUUCUCUGGUGUAGACAAGACAGCAAAAGGACAGACUACCUUGUGGAACCUAGCAUUGUUCUCCUUCUGCAGCACUAAGUAACAUUUGUUCUCCGUUAAGAUCUUUGCAAACCACACACAAGAAUUGCUGGUCAUCCUGCCAAUAGAUGCUGCUCACAGAACCAAAUUUCCUGUGCUGAAUUGUCACUCAUGGGCUUGAGAGUAGGAGACUGGAGACCAAGGUGGCUAGAAUCCAGUUGGGCCUGAUGUCUCCCUGUUGAAAGGGCUCCUUGUGGAAUGAAUAGCACAUGGCUCCUGUGGUGGAUCUGAUAGUGGCAUAGCACCAAGUGAUGCAGGCCUGCCAGGGGCCACAGACACAGAAGAUGCUCCCGGGGUCCCCCAUGUACUCCAGACACACUGCAGGCCACCUCUCCCAGCAGGUUGCCAGUCAUGGGCCCCAUCAUCAUGACUUCUGUCCAAGGUGUGCUCGGAAAUCUCUUCCUUAACUGUGACUUUCUGACAGGUGGAGGAUGUGGUCAGGAGUGGGAAAAGGAUUCGAGACGGGAAGAGGGAGGGGUUCAGGAUGAAGAGAGAUAAUCUGUGCCACAGAUGCUGGCCCUGCAGUUAGCUCCCACCUAGUCCGUGCACACACAUUCUAAUCCCCUCCCAUUCCUUUACAUGCUGCGGCCAGAGAGGCCUUUCUCAAAGUGGAAGUCUCAUCCUCACUUCUCUGGUUACAGUGCUGGGCCAUGGUAACUUACAAGGCUUAGCAGGAACUGUCUGCGCACUCCCCCUUCCUGCCCACUACCUUGUUUCCCUCCAGUUGCGAGAGAAAACAUUGAUUGAGCAUUAACUAUGUGCCAGGCUUGUCCUAAGUCCUUUGCAUGUAUUCACUCAAACAAUCCUCACAACAUUCCUAUCACAUCUCCCAUUUCACAGUGAGGGUUCUAAAGCACGUAGUGGGUGAGGAACUUGUCCAGGGUCACACAACUAAGUGGGGGUGGAGAAACAUCAAAUCUAGGUGGUCCAGGUGGUGGCCAGAACCCAUCAGCACCUCACUACAGCUGCCUCCAGUUUCUCGCUCUAGGAAAUACUCUUCCCUGUCAACUCCUGUUGUCCUCUGGGCUCAGUUGACAUGUCAUCUCCUUGAGGAGGACAUCCUGAGAUGCUCCCCGACUAGGGUGGGCACCCACUUCCACACUCCAAAUGCCUAUUUGACCUGUGUAUCGCUGCAUCCCCACUGCCUGGCAGAUAGCAGGCCCCUAAUAAAUAUGAUUUGAGCAAAUAAAUAUAGUUCUUCAAAAAAUAGGGAGGACUUCUUGCUUCAGGUAAUGGUAGGCUAGGACAUUUGGACCAACCCUCCUGCAGAAAAUAGCCAUUUAUUUUGAUGCAAUAUAUCUGGCUAUGACUAGAGAUUUCAAAUAUUUGGAGGGCUAUUAUGUGAAGAACUAAACUUACUCUUUGUGACAUAGAGGUCAGAAAUUGGUCGUUUCCAUAGAGUAUGAGAGAGACAGAAUUGUGCUCAUCAUAAGUAUCUUUUUUAAAAGUUAGACUUAAUAAAAUGGGCUGCCUUGGUAGGUGGUGAGUUCUCUGUCACGAAAGAGAUUCAGCCACUUGCUCUGAGAAAGCAUGGAGAAUAUCAACAUUGUAAGGGUCGACCACCUCAUCUCUGAGGCCCCCUCCUCACUUAGGUUGCCAUUGCAGGUGGAACACUGGGCUGAGUGUCAAAGAACCUGGGUUCCACAAGCUGUGCGACCAUGGCUGGUUGUUUUGGAUCUCAUUCCUAAUAUCUGUUAGUUAAGCUGACCCGUCAAUACUGACCCACUUCACAGAGUUAUGAAGGGAUUAAAUUAGGUAUUACAUGUAAAUCUGUUUUGUUUGCUUUUUGUUGUUCUUUUUUGUUUUGCUUUUUUCUUUGCAUUAUGAAAUCCCAAGUCAACUUUUUCCAUUCUUUUAUUUUUUUAAAAAUUGACAUCAUCAUUAUAACCACAAAAUAAUUUUUAAAAUGGAAAAAAAAAACUCACCUGCAACCCCACAAUCUAAUACAAUAAUCAUACUUUUUUCCCUUUAUUCUCCUUUAUUGUGACCAAGGAUGACUUUGGGCAUUGCUGUGAGGAACUAUUUCGUUUAACACCCUACUACCUGAACAUGAUGCGUACUCAGCCUUUCACCACCCCCCAAGUAGCUACACAUGAUGUGAUAAUAGUAUUGGUGGUGGUUUUAGAGAGUUGGAGAGAAAACUGAAGUUGGAUUUGGGUAAAAGAAAAAAGAGUGGGAAUUAUUUUUUCUCCAUUCUAAAGCCCAUAAAGCAAUGUUAAUUGUUCCCACCCCUCUGCUAUUCUGUCUCCUCAGGUACUGUGUGCAGAAAUGUGAUUGAGAUUCAAGUCAGGGCCUCUCUGCCCUUUUCCCUCCAGAAACAAAACCAAGAUAAUUUAUCCUGAACACGGUGAAAAAAGGAAGGGAGGGAGGAGAAAAAGUCCGGGUCUCACCUGGGAUUCUCUGUCUCCUGCAACAUGAAGGAUUUAGCCUGGGAGGAGGUGGUGAGAACUCUGGGAGAGAAAAAAGAAGGAAAGAAUAGUUUUACCCAUGCUGAAGUUAAUUUAAACCUUCACCUAGAGAAGCAAAAAAAAAAAACCCACACUUUCCCAUUUUGUGCCUCCCUUCCUAGAGUUUUAGCCAAAGGUUUAGCUAAGUAAUUGGUUUUACCAGCGCACUCACUCCUCCUAUCCCAAGUCUGUUUGACUCCCUCCCCAUCAUCCUCCUCACCUCUUUUCAGGCAGGGUGGGGAUAGCAGCAGGAGGAGAUUUUGGGAGCCUGGCAACUCCUGCAAGGACCGCAGGACAGCCCCUCUGUGGGGAUGCGUGGUGCCCCAUCUGCCGCCCUUCUGAAGAAUGCACUGCCUUCACUUUUUACUGUGUUAGAGUCCAUCCAGACUGUUCUAUCCAAAAAAGUUUCUUUUUCCCCCACAGGCAAUCAGGAAAUGAUUCCUUUCCCGACUGCUUCUGUCUAGUGCCUGGGAAUCUUGAGUCAAUCCCUCAGUAAGUCAGUGACUAGGGAAAUCCCUCUCUGAGCCUCCCAGUUCAUGUUGCUUAGGGAACCUGAUAUUUUCGUGAAACCUGCCUACACAUGGGCAGCCCAACAGCAGAACAAAUGGUGGUGACCAAAGUGAACAAAGAAGUAUAGUUGUGCCAGCUUCGUAGUUGCCCAUGUGGACAAGUCAGCAGGAUCAGGACACGAGGAAGAGUAAAUGUGAGACAGUCAAUGUGACUUCUGCGAUAAACAGAUUUUUAAACCCCGAAAUUUUGCAAAAUUUUGGUGAAACCUGAACUUUCUUCGUUGCAUAUACUGGCACUAUCUGUACCAUCAUACAACUGUCUCACAUUAAAGCUAUUUUUCUUGGGCACUGAUGAGUAAGGUUGGUAUAAGUUCCUCAGAUCAACAAAAACCCAUUUUCCUGUAAGUCUUACAUUUAGUAUUUAAGGAACUAAAACUUAAAUACAUUUUGUGAAAUGGUUGACACUUCACUGAUAAUGAUUUAUUGCUUGGAUUAAUAAAUUUUCCAAAAGUUGUCUUAUGUAGAAUAUGGUUUGCAACCAGCAGAACCAUUAAUCUAUACUGCAAUGAUAUGCACUAUGUAUAAUUGUUUAAAAGCCUCUACUUAAUGAUGUAAAAUGCUCUAUUUAAUUACACAUUUGGGUAAACUGUAUACUAACAUCUGAUGGCAUUUUUCCACUGUUUGUUGCUUUUUUCAAAUACUUUAUUGUACAAAGCUGUUCUUAAUAUUUUUCAAGUUUUUUUCUUUGAAUUUUGCUAAUGUUUUCCUUGAAUUAUGAGCACUGACAGAAUGUGCUUAGCACUUUUGGCUAUUCACACAGCUUUUGAGCAUGAUUUGCAUCCAAUAUUUACAUUGCUAGCAAUAAUAAGCCAUCUGUGAGUUUUGUCAAAAGUUAUUGGGGAUUUUUUAAAUUUUAGAAAUGCAAAUUAUUGUUUCUUUGAACUAACUCUUAUGCAGUUGCAAAGGCAUUUCCAGUUGUUAUAGUUUGUGUACAAUAUCAGGUGUUCCAGAUUAUGAUUCAUUAUUAAUAUCAUUGCUUCCUUGUUCCCUCUGAGGUCCAGAAGAUUCAUGUUUACAAUAUUUAGAAACAAUGUUAAAAAGGUAUCCAAAGUUUGUCACUUUAUUAUUAGUUUGUUCUUAAUAUUCUGUUUAAGUUUUUGAAUUCAUAGAUAUCAAAACGCUGCACAAUUAUGAUUUCCACAGGAAUAACAACACACUAACAAUAAGAACCAAAAACAGCAAAUAGGCUGCCUACAAGUUUUGACAAUAUUAGGAUAAUGAUAAUGACAGUUUUUCUAAAUCUCACAGUAAAGAAUGCAGCAACCCAGCAACACUGCUACCUGUGGCCUCAGGCUGCAGUGUCAGCUCUUCCCUGGGUCUCCAGCCUGCCAGUCUAACCUGAAAAUUAUGUACUUGCCAGCCCCCACAGUCACGUGAGUGAACUGGCCCAGGCUGGUCACCAGGGUCAGUUUCUCUGUGUGUCAUUAAUUCAUUCAGUCUUCAGCAGUCUCUUUGGAGCUGAGAUGUACCUACCAUCUGCCUUUUGGGUGCUUAGGGUGGAGAACCAGAAAAGUAUAACCUAGUGUGUAUCCUCAAAGAGCUAACAAUAUGGGGUGGUACCUAUAGGUCUGGAAACACUUUACUGACUCUGUGAGGCAUACCAGGAGACGUCAGAGAACAGUCCCUCCUCAAAUGCCAAAUGAGAUGCAGAAGAAAUAGUUUGCUCAAGUUCAUGGGCCAGAUAUCCCAGUGGUCAGGGAGUUUCAUGAAUGAGAUGGAACUUUGCAUGGAACCCGAGGGAUGUGUAUGAUUUGAGUAGAUGAAGAAAAUGAGACUUUCCAAGCAGCUAGAAGUUAGGGAGCAGCAAGAUGUGUGGUGGGAUUGAGCACAGUUGGUUCAGAGGAUAGACUGCAGUUUUAAUAAUUUGUAGUAAAUAUCUCCCAACUGUUUGGCACUAUUGGAGCAAGUUCUUGAAUGCCAAAUGAAGGCAUAAAUCAGUAAGAGGCAUAAUAAAAGGCUGAGCAGUGCUUGGCUUUUUACGAACUGAUCCUGAUAGGAGCAGCUGUUCAACAAAGUUGCCAGGUCACCGUUACAUAGUCCCUGCCUUCUAGGGGCUCACUGCCUACUGGGAGAGACAGUCUGAAAGUUGGUGGAGCAUGUAACUGUUGGAUGAGGAGUUUGAGCCUGUGGACUGUGGGACCCCCGAGGAGGGUGUGGCUACUCUAGGCAGAACAAUCCCACAGUUUAUUUAUAUUUAACCUUGAAAUUCAUUAGAGGAUUUUUCAGCAGAGGUUUGGUACUUGUUAAUGUUAAGGUUUGCAUUCUCUAGAACCUCAAGGAAAGCUGUACCGUGCAUAAUGUACCCUCUUAUGUUAAUGUUGUGUACUGUGAUCCUGUUUCAGGGACUUGCACUUAGGAAUCUGUUACAGUGAGCACAGAAGCAGACCUGUGGGCUCAUAGUCUUCACCCCCCACCCAUAUAUACAAGAUGAACAGAGUGGAGGUUAAACAACUUGACUAAACAACACAGUUCAUGGUAAAGCCCAAGACUGUACCUGCCCAUCCACUGCCUUUUCCAUGUAUCCUGGAACUGAGCAUAGACCUCUUCCCAGGCAGAGCUGACAGCAAGUAAAGGAGAUCAUAAUCAGGGGACCAAACAACUUUGUCUAAAGUGUGAAUGUCACCUAAGGAGAAGCUGUGAGAUCAGAAGGGUGGGGCAGAGGAGCAGACACCAUGAGGGAGAGUCCUUGGGGGUACAUCUGCCAGACUGACACUGUCUGGCCUGGGCAGUGGAGGGGCUAGCAGGAACCACAGGUACUGGUGGUGUGGCUACUACCGUUACAACUGCCUGUGCUUGGACAUGGACCCUCUGCAAUAUGCGGCAGUUUCAUUCAUUGCCCCCUACAUUCUACACCAAGUAGAAAUGGAAGGCAAUUGGAUACUUCACAGACAAGAUCUAAGUGGAGAAGGAAUGCGUCCUGUGGCUGCAGAGAUCCUUGGAGCUUGGAGGGGAGAGCUUGAGCCCCACUGAUGAUGACCUCCCACAGCUCGCCAACUCAGCCCUCCCUAAGUCCCCAUCGGGGGCCAAUUCUCACUCUGGGGUUGGGGGGACUCCACCAUAGCUCAUCCAUCAUAGGGAUGUUGGUAUCUACUGUGGGUUGGGUAGGGCCGAUGUGCUGAGGAUGGCUCCCCCACAAGCAAGAGAUGUGGAUUUGGGGAGCUUCCCAUCUUGUGUUGAAGGAACAUAACUCAGAAUAAUAAGAGCCAACUAUAACAAACCCACAGCCAACAUCAUACUGAAUGGGCAAAAGCUGCAGGCAUUCCCCUUGAAAAGUGGCACAGGAUAAGGAAGCCCUUUCUCACCACUCCUAUUCAAUAUAGUGUUGAAAGUCCUGAUCACAGCAGUCAGGCAACAGAAAUAAUAAAGGGCAUCCAAAUAGGAAGAGAGGAAGUCAAACUAUCCUUGUUUGCAGACAGUAUGAUUCUAUAUCUAGAAAACCCCAUAGCCUCAGCCCAAAAGGUCCUUCAUCUGAUAAUUUCAGCAAAGUUUCAGGAGACAAAAUCAGUGUACAAAAAUCACUAACAUUCCUAUACACAGUCGCCAAGCCAAGAGCCAAAUCAGGAGCACAAUCCCAUUCAUAAUUGCCACAAAAAAGAAUAAAAUACCCAGGAAUGCAGCUAACCAAGGAAGUAAAGGAUCUCUACAAUGAGAAUCACAAACGCUGCUCAAAGAAAUCAGAGAUGACACAAACAAAUGGAAAAACUUUCCAUGCUCAUGGCUAGGAAGAAUCAAUAUCAUUAAAGUGGCCAUACUACCCAAAGCAAUUUAUAGAUUCAAUGCUAUUCCUAUCAAACUAUCAAUUACAUUUUUCACAGAACUAGAAAAAACUUAAAAUUCAUAUGGAACCAAAAAGCCUGAGUAGUCAAGGCAAUCCUAAACAAAAAGAACAAAGGUGGAGGCAUCACAUUACCUAACUUCAAACUACAGGGCUACCAUGACCAAAACAGCAUGGUACUGGUACAAAAGCAGACACACAGACCAGUGGGACAGAAUAGAGAGCCCAAAAAUAAGGCCACAAACCUACAGCCAUCUGAUCUUCAACAAAGUUGACAAAAACAAGCAAUGGGGAAAGGUCUCCCUAUUCAAUAAAUGGUGCUGGGAUAACUGGCUGGCCAUAUGCAGAAGAUCGUAACUGGACCCCUUUUACUAUGUACAAAAAUUAAGAUGGUUUAAAGAGUUAAAACCCAAAAUUAUAAAAAUCCUGAAGAUAACUUAGGCAAUACCAUUCUGGACAUAGGAACUGGCAAAUAUUUCAUGAUGAAGACACCAAAAGCAAUUGUAACAAAAGCAAAAAUGGACAAAUUGGAUUUAAGAGCUUUUUCAUAGCAAAAUAAACAACAGGGCAGACAAUCUACCAAAUGACAGAAAAUUUUUGCAAACUAUGCAUCUGACAAGGGGCUAAUAUCUAGCAUCUAUAAGGAAUUUAAACACAGUUACAGGAAAAAAAAAACCCACUCCAUUAAAAAAUGGGCAAAGGACAUGAACAGACACUUUUCAAAAAAGACAUACAUACAGCCAACUAGCGUGUUAAAGAAAACCUCAAUUAUCACUGAUCAUUAGAGAAAUGCAAAAUCAAAACCAUGAUGAGAUAUCAUCUGCCAGUCAGGAUGGCUACAAAAAAGUAAAAAAAUAAUAGAUGUUGGUGAGGUUAUGGAGAAAAGGAACUUAUACACUUGUUAGGAGUGUAAAUUAGUUCAAUCACUGUGGACAGCAGUGUGGUGAUUCCUCAGAGAGCUAAAAACAACUACCAUUUGACUCACCAAUCCCAUUACUGGAUAUUUACCUAAAGGAAUAUAAAUCAUUCCACCAUAAAGACACAUGCAAGUGUAUGUUCAUUGCAGCACUAUUAACAGUAACAAAGCUGGGCACAGUGGCUCACCUCACGACUGUAAUCCCAGCACUUUGGGAGGCUGAGGUAGGCGGAUCACCUGAGGUCGGCAGUUUGAGACCAGCCUGACCAACAUGGAGAGACCCCAUCUCUACUAAAAAUACAAAAUUAGCCAGGUGUGGUGGCUCAUGCCUGUAAUCCCAGCUACUUGGGAGGCCAAGGCAGGAGAAUUGCUUGAACCCAGGAGGCAGAGGUUGCAGUGAGCCGAGAUCACACCAUUGCACUCUAGCCUGGUGAAGGAGCAAGACUCCAUCUCAAAAAAAAAAAAAAAAAAGAAAGAAAGAAAAAUACACAUUCAGAGGAGACAAAAAAUAAAAAACAAUGAUGCAUGCCCACAGGAUCUAGAAAAUAACUUCUUAAGGGCAAAUCUAGGAGUUAUUGGCCUUAAAGAAGAGAUAGAGAAAGAGAUAGGAAUAGAAAGUUUGUUGAAAGGGAUAAUAACAUAGAACUUCCUAAACCUACAGAAAGAUAUUUAUAUCCAAGUACAAGAAGGUUAUAGAACACCAGGCCAAUUUAACCCAAAGAUUACCUCAAGGCAUUUAAUAAUCAAACUCCCACAGGACAAGGGUAAAGAAAGGAUCCUAAAAGCAGCAAGAGAAAAGAAACAGAUAACAUACAAUGGAGCUCCAAUACAUCUGGCAGUAUAUUUUUCAGUGGAAACCUUACAAGCCAGGAGAGAGUGACAUGACAUAUGUUAAAGUGCUGAAGGGAAAAAACCUUUUACCCUAGAAUAGUAUAUCCAGCAAAAAUAUCCUUCAAACAUGAAGAAUAAACAAAGACUUCCCCAGACAAACAAAAGCUGAGGGAUUUCAUCAACACUAGACUGGUCCCAUAAGAAACGCUUAAGGGAGUACUUUGGUCAGAAAGAAACAGACAUUAAUGAGCAACAAAGAAUCAUCUAAAGGUAAAAAACUCACUGUUAAGAGUAAGUACACAGAAAAACCCAAAGUGUGAUAACAUUGUAACUGUGGUGUGUAAGUAGAAAGAAUAAAUGAUAAACCAAUCAAAAAUAGUAACUACAACUUUUCAAGACCAGUCAGAAAAAUAAGAUAAAAUUAGAAACAACAAAAAGUUAAAAAGUGGGGGGAUGAAGUUAAGAUGUAGAGUUUUUAUUAGUUUUUUGUUUGUUAAUGCAAACAGUGUUACCAGGUUAAAAUAAUGGGUUACAAAAUAGUAUUUGUAAUCCUUAUGGUAACCUCAAACCUAAAAACAUACACUGGAUACAUAAAAAAUAAAAAGCAAAAACCUAAAUCAUAUCACCAGAGCAAACUACCUUCCCUAAAGGAAGACAGGAAGAAAAGAAAGAAGAAGACCACAAAACAACCAGAAAACAAAUAAAUAACAAGGCAGGAGUAAGUCUUUACUUAUCGAUAAUACAUUGAAUGGAAAUAUGGACUAAACUCUCCAAUCAAAAGACAUAGACUGGCUGAAUGAAUGGAGAAAACAAGACCCAUUGAUCUGUUGCCUACAAGAAACACACUUAAACUAUAAAGACACACAUAGGCUGAAAGUAAAGAGUUGGAAAGAGUUAUUCCAUGCCAAUGGAAACCAGGAAAAAGAGAAGGAGUAUUGAUUUUGAUACAAAAACUAUGAGACAAAUAAAGUCACUAUACAAUGAUAAAGGGGUUAAUAUGGUUUCCAUUUGUGCCCCACCCAAAUUUCGUGUUCUAUUGUAAUCCUCAAUGUUGGAGGUGGGGCCUGGUGGGACGUGAUUAGAUCAUGGGGGUGGAUCUUUCAUGACUAAUUCAGCACCAUCUUCUUAGUGCUGUUCUCAUGAUAGUGAGUUCUUCUGAAAUCUGGUUGCUUAAAAGUGUGUAGCACCUCUCCACACCACCCGCUUGCCUUGGUCUACUCCUGCUAUGUAGAUGCUUGCUCCCACUUUGCAUUAUUCCAUGAGUAAAAGCUCCCUCAGGCCUUCCCAGAAUCAGAUGCCGCUAUGCUUCCUGAACAGCCUGUGGAACUAUGAGCCAAUUCAACCUCUUUUCUUCAUAAAUUAACAAGUCUUGGGUAUUUCUUUAUAGCAGUGUGAGAACAGAAUAAUACAGAAAAUUGGUAAAGAGGAGUGAGGCAUUGCUAGAAAGAUACCUGAAAAUGUGGAAACAGCAGUGGAACUGGGAAAUAGACAGAGGUUGGAAGAGUGUGGAGGGCUCCGAAGAUAGGAAGAUGAGGGGAAGUUUGGAAUUUCUUAGAGAUUUGUUAAAUUGUUUUGACCAAAAUACUGAUGGUGAUAUGGACAAUGAAGUCCAGGCUGAGGAGGUCUCAGAUGGAGAUGAGGGACUUAUUGGGACCUGGAGUGAAGGUCACUUUUGUUAGGACAUUGUGGUUGGAGACAUUGUGCCCCUGCCCUAGGAAUCUGUGGAACUUUGAACUUGAGAGCGAAGAUUUAGGGUAUCUGGCAGAAGAAAUUUCUAAGCAGCAAAGCGUUCAAGACGUGGCCUGGCUGCUUCUGGUAGUCUGUGCUCAUAUUUGUGAGCAAAGACAUGACAAGAAACUGGAACUUAUAUUUAAAAAGGAAGCAGAGUGUAAAAGUUUGGAGAAUUUGCAGCCUGGCCAUGUUGUAGAAAAGAAAAAAACCAUUUUCUGGAGAGGAAUUCAAGCUAGCUGCAGAAAAUUGCAAGUAACAAGGAGCAAAAUGUUGAUAGCCAAGAUAGUGGGAAAAACACCUUGAAGGCAUUUCAGAUACCUUGGGGGCAGCCUCUCCCAUCACAGGCCCAAAGGCCUAGGAGGGAAGGAUGGUUUCCUGGGCCAGGCUCAGGGUCCUGCUGCCCUGCACAACCUCAGGAAACUGCUCUCCAAAUCCCAGCUGCUCCAGCUCCAGCUUCAGCUCAAAGGGCCCCAGGUAUAGCUCAGGCUGCUGCUCCAUAGGAUGCAAGUUAUAAGCCUUAGUGGCUCCCGUGUGGUGUUAAAUUAAGCCUGUAGGUGCACAGAGUGCAAGAAUUGAGGCUUGGGAGCCUCCAACUAGAUUUCAGAGUAUGUGUGGGAAAGCCUGGAUGUCCAGGCAGAAGCCAGCUGCAGGGACAGAGCCCUCAUGGAGAACCUCUACUAGGGUAGUGUGGAGGGGAAAUUUGGGGUUGGAGUUCCCACACAGCUUCCCCUCUGGUGUACUGCCUAGUGGAGCUGUGAGAAGACAGCCACUGUCCUCCAGAUUCCAGGAUGAUAGAUCUGCCAAUGACAGCUUGCACUGUACAACUGGAAAAGCCACAGGCAGUCAAUGCCAGCCCGUGAAAGCAGUGACAGUGGCUUACCCUGCAAAGUCCCAGGGGCUGAGCUGCCCAAGGCCUUGGGAGCCCACCCCUUGCACCAGUGUGCCCUGGAUGUGAGAUAUGGAGUCAAAGGAGAGUAUUUUGGAGCUUUAAGAUUUAAUGACUACCUGCUGGGUUUCAGACUUGCAUGGGUCCAGUAGCCCCUUUCUUUUGGCCAAUUUCUCACUUUUGGAAUGGGAGUGUUUACCCAAUUCCUGUACCCCCACUGUAUGUUGGAAGUAACUAACUGUUUUUUUAUUUUGUAAGCUCACAGGUGGGAGAGACUUGCCUUGUCUCAGGUUGAGACUCUGGACUUUGGACUUUUGAAUUAAUGCUGGAAUGAGUUAAGACUUUGAGGGACUGUUGGGAAGAUAUAACUGUAUUUUGCAGUAUGAGAAGGACAUGAGAUUUGGGAGACACCAGAGGUGGAAUAAUAUGAUUUGGAUCUGCAUCCCCACCAAAAUCUCAUGUUCAAUUGUAAUCCUAAAUUUUGGAGGUUGAGCCUGGUGGAAGAGGAUUGGAUAAUGGGGGUGGUUUCUCAUGGUUUAACACCAUCCCCCUGGGUGCUGUUCUCAUGACAGUGAGUGAGUUAUUGUGAGAUCUGAUUGUUUAAAAGUGUGUGCCACCUCCUCCCACUUUCCUCCUGCUCCAGCCAUGUAAGACAGGCUUGCCUCCCCUUCACCUUUUGUCAUGAUUGUAAGUGUUCUGAGGCCUCCCCAGCCAUGCUUCCUGUACAGCCUGCAGAACUGUGAGCCAAUUAAACCUCUUUUCUCUAUAUAUUACCCAGUCUCGGGUAUUUCUUUAUAGCAGUGCAAGAAUAGACUAAUACAGGGUUCAAUUCAGCAAGAGGAUAUAACAAAUAUAAAUAUAUAUGCACUCAACACUGCAGCACCCAGAUAUAUAAAGCAAAUACGAUUAGAGCUAAAGAGAGAGAGUGACCCCAAUACAAUAAUAGCUGGAGACUUCAACACCACAUUUUCAGCACUGGACAGAUCUUCCAGACAGAAAAUAAAAAAGAAACAUCAGACUUAAUCUGCACUGUAGAUCAAAUGGAUCUAAUACAUACUUGCAGAACAUUUUAUCCAAUGGCUGCAGAAUACACAUUCUUUUUUAGCACAUGUAUCAUUCUCAAGGAUAGACCAUAUGUUAGGUCACAAGUCUUAAAACAUUAAAAAAGUUGAAUACCAUCAAGCAUCUUCUCUGACCACAGUGGAAUACAACUAGAAACUAAUAACAAGAGGAAUUUUUGAAACUACAAAUACAUGAAAAUUAAACAAUAUGCUCCUGAAUGACCAUUGAGUCAAUGAAGAAAUUAAGAAGGAAAUUGAACAAUUUCUUGAAACAAAUGAUAAAGGAAACACAACAUACCAAAACCUAUGGGAUACGGCAAAAGCAGUACUAAGAGGCAAAUUGAUAGCUAUAAGUGCCUACAUGAAAAAAGAGGAAAAACUUCAAAUAAGCAAUUUAACAAUGAACCUUAACCAGAAAAGCAAGAGCAAAACAAACACAAAAUUAGAAGAAAACAAAUAAUAAAAAUUAGAGCAUAAAUAAAUAAAAUUGAAAUAAAAAUCAAUGCAAAAGAACAAUGAAACAAAAAGUUGCUUUUUUUCAAAAGUUAAACAAAACUGACAAGCCUUUAGCAAGACUGAGAAAAAAGAGACAAGAUACAAAUCAGAAAUGAAAAAGACAUUACAACUGACACUGCAGAAAUUCAAAGGAUCAUUAGGGGCUACUAUGAGCAACUCUAUGCCAAUAAAUUGGAAAAUCUAGAAGAAAUUGACAAUUCCUAGACACAUACAACCUACUGAGACUGGACCAGGAAGAAAUCCAAAACCUGAACAGACUAAUAACAAGUAACAAGGUUGAAGCCAUAAUAAAAAGUCUCCCACUAAAGAAAACCAAGGACCCGAUGGCUUCACUGUUGAAUUCUACCAAACAUUUAAAGAAGAACUAAUACCAAUCCCACUCAAGCUAUUGAAAAAUAGAGGAGGAGAGAAUAUUUCCAAAGUCAUUCUAGGAGACCAGUAUCACCCUGAUACCAAAACCAGACAAAGACACAUCAAAAAAAGAAAACUGCUGGCCAAUUUCUCUGAUGAAUAUUGAUGCCAGAAUCCUCAGCAAAAUAUUAGCAAACUAAAUUCAACAAUACAUUAAAAAGAUCAUUCAUCAGGGUCGGGUGCAGUGGCUUAAGCCUCUAAUCCCAGCACUUUGGGAGGCCGAGGUGGGCAGAUCACCUGAGGUCAGGAGUUCAAGACCAGCCUGACCAACAUGGUGAAACCUCGUCUCUACUGAAAAUACAAAAUUAGCCGAGUGUGGUGGUGCAUGCCUGUAAUCCCAGCUACUCAGGAGACUGAGGCAGGAGAAUCACUUGAACCCAGGAGGUGGAGGUUGCAGUGAGCUG